Molecule: ribosomal RNA, 243 nt
Filed under: uncultured Staphylococcus sp.
Lineage: Bacteria; Bacillati; Bacillota; Bacilli; Caryophanales; Staphylococcaceae
Description: partial 16S ribosomal RNA
Rfam family: Bacterial small subunit ribosomal RNA
Source: RNAcentral
CGGCGACGGGUGAGUAACACGUGGAUAACCUACCUAUAAGACUGGGAUAACUUCGGGAAACCGGAGCUAACACCGGAUAAUAUUUUGAACCGCAUGGUUCAAAAGUGAAAGACGGUCUUGCUGUCACUUAUAGAUGGAUCCGCGCUGCAUUAGCUAGUUGGUAAGGUAACGGCUUACCAAGGCAACGAUGCAUAGCCGACCUGAGAGGGUGAUCGGCCACACUGGAACUGAGACACGGUCCAG